This 231-nucleotide ribosomal RNA is filed under the name uncultured bacterium. RNAcentral's name for it is "partial 16S ribosomal RNA". It matches the Rfam family "Bacterial small subunit ribosomal RNA", at positions 99 to 334 of the family's 1533-position model. The record is from RNAcentral.
CGGACGGGUGAGUAAUGUCUGGGAAACUGCCUGAUGGAGGGGGAUAACUACUGGAAACGGUAGCUAAUACCGCAUAACGUCGCAAGACCAAAGUGGGGGACCUUCGGGCCUCUUGCCAUCGGAUGUGCCCAGAUGGGAUUAGCUAGUAGGUGGGGUAACGGCUCACCUAGGCGACGAUCCCUAGCUGGUCUGAGAGGAUGCCAGCCACACUGGAACUGAGACACGGUCCAG